This is a long non-coding RNA of Pseudoliparis swirei, 1432 nucleotides long. RefSeq lists it as uncharacterized. Lineage: Eukaryota; Metazoa; Chordata; Actinopteri; Perciformes; Liparidae. The transcript is spliced from 2 exons. The record is from RefSeq and is a predicted model, not a curated record.
UCCGCGGGUCCUUAAAAAGUCUUAAAAAGUCUUAAAUUGCUUUUCCUAAAAAUAAGGCCUUAAAAAGUCUUAAAUUGUCUUAAAUUCAGAUUGGAUUGGUCUUAAAUGUUUUGGGUGUCAUGUCCAGGGGUUUUCCUGGGUCAAAAUGGGUCUUCGGUGCUCCCAAAAAAUAUGUUGGCGCGCGCGCACCGUCUAUUUGUGCAGGUCGGGCUGUUGAGUGAUCAGCAGCUGGCCGCUCGGUCCAUUCGCGCACCUCACAGUUGCGUAUUGAUCAGACAAGAAGACACGCUUAUCAACUCCAGUGUUUCCCCUAUAACAGGGUGAAAUCCCCCCCCCCCGCAAACAAUUCUCGGCUCGCGCGACAGAGCGAUGCGCGCGCCGGUAUUCGGUCCUAUCAAUCCCCUACAACGUGAAGCAUCGGCUACUUUAGAAAACAUGGCAGGAUGCAAGUUCAACAACGGCUUGAAAAGAACGAGUGUUUCUGGUCACGGUCGGUGAAAUGCUUCUGAAGCUGCGUUAUGUGUCGCGAGACUUUCCAGCGGUGGAAUCUCACGAGCAGAGCAAGAAGCACAGAGACUAGCGAAGGCCGCCCGCAGCGCGCGGGGCUAGCUGCUGCUCCGCCGCUAGCUGCUGCUCCGCCACUAGCUGCUGCUCCGCCGCCAGCAACGACGUCAACGCUACAACGCUGGAGGUCACCGGAGGAAAUCAGCGCCGUGCAACAAAGAGCUCAUCACCGAAGACCAACAGGGCGGCACGUUCUUCAUUCUGUUCCACGAGACUCUGGACCAGACCACCACGAGACUCUGGACCAGACCACCACGAGACUCUGAACCAGACCACCACGAGACUCUGGACCAGACCACCACGAGACUCUGGACCAGACCACCACGAGACUCUGGACCAGACCACCACGAGACUCUGGACCAGACCACCGCGAGCAGACAGCUGGACUUCAUGUGCUCUUGGUGAAAUGACCAGGUCCCGUCAGGAUCCUGUGGAGCUCAUGGGCCGUGACACCAGGACCUACUUCAGCAUCUCAAAGAGAAUGGACCAAAUGUCAACUGGAAGUUUUUGUAUUCAUACAUUUUGAAAAGGAUUGUUUUCCUAGUAUAUUCACAAAAGCUCAGGAGGAGACGUAUGAACCUGUGACACACACACCCAUCACAUAGAGACAUGAGAACUCACACACACACACACACACACACACACACACACACACACACACACACACACACACACACAUUCUAUUAUGUAAAUGAAUUUGCAUUUUAAAAGCAGCUGGAAAUGUUAUUUGUUAUUUUAUGGAUUUUUUUGUUCAAAAGGAACUAUGUUGCAUGUAUUUUUUAAAUAUAUGUACUUAUUUUUAGAGACAUUUGUUCAUGGGACUUAAAUGUUCUGAAAAUGUAUUAAUAAAUAUAAUUUACAACAGCAA